This 103-nucleotide small nuclear RNA is filed under the name Chinchilla lanigera (long-tailed chinchilla). Lineage: Eukaryota; Metazoa; Chordata; Mammalia; Rodentia; Chinchillidae. The record is from RNAcentral.
GCGCUCACCGGGCAGCACAGAUACUAAAACUGGAACAAAACAAAGGUCACCCUGGGCUCUGCCCAAGGAUGACGCUCAAGUUUGUAAAGUGUUCCAUAUUUUU